UGACCACCCCGGCUCCCGGCCUCCAGCCGACCGGACUCCCGACACGACUUCCCCCGUGCCGGGCACCGGACGGAUGGGGACCAGGAGCCGGGAACCGGACACC
Molecule: regulatory RNA element, 103 nt
Organism: Knoellia aerolata DSM 18566
Lineage: Bacteria; Bacillati; Actinomycetota; Actinomycetes; Micrococcales; Intrasporangiaceae
Rfam family: mraW RNA
Source: Rfam